Molecule: long non-coding RNA, 770 nt
Organism: Athene cunicularia (burrowing owl)
Lineage: Eukaryota; Metazoa; Chordata; Aves; Strigiformes; Strigidae
Exons: 3
Source: RefSeq, a predicted model, not a curated record
GGCACGUCUUGGCACUGUUGCUCGCUGCUGCCUGGGAGAGAAAGCACUUUGAAGUCCUGUGCCGCAGGGAGUUACCCAGAAAGCAGAGCUCUGCCCACCUGCUGCUCAAAUCAAACAGCGUGGAAGGAGGAUAGUCUCAUAACAUCAAACGACAUACCAGAGGAGGAUAUUCUUGCUGUAAUUCUUGCUGAAUAUAUUUACUUGGAGAUUUUUUCUGGUGGGAAGUCCAAUGGCCACAGCUGGAAACCCCCCCCAGCCCUGAGCUACGAGUGAGCGCACACAAGGGUCCCAGCACGAGGAGCAGCCCAGCCUGGUCACAGCCCCAGAACUGGGUACGAAAAACCUCCUGGACUUAUCAGCGUUGAACCAGGGAGCUUGUCUGUGCCACCAGACAUCCCUCUGCCCCCUCCCUGCCUCAGCAGAGAGCUGGCACUGGGGCUGGCCUCACUGAAAGGGCUAAAACCCACCGUGGGAGGAGCGGGGCUGCCUACAUGAACACCAUUUUGCUGGAAGAGGAUUGAGCACCCACGUGCCAUGAGUUUGAGGGUCCCAGGAGGAUUGCAGCAGGUAGACAUGUUGAGCUGCUUAAAAAAAAUAAAAGACAUGGAGAUUUCAGCCCAAAUGUGCUGCCAGUGCUGCGGCUCUUCCAGGCUGUACUAAAAUGUCUAACUAAGCCCCCUCGUGUGGGAGAUGAGAUGGCCCCAGCCAUUAAAACGCAGCCACGUAUUUAAAGCUUAAGAGGGAAGGUUUAAUGGAUAAAGUCAAUUUAA